GAUGAACGCUGGCGGCGUGCCUAAUACAUGCAAGUCGAGCGAACAGACGAGGAGCUUGCUCCUCUGACGUUAGCGGCGGACGGGUGAGUAACACGUGGAUAACCUACCUAUAAGACUGGGAUAACUUCGGGAAACCGGAGCUAAUACCGGAUAAUAUAUUGAACCGCAUGGUUCAAUAGUGAAAGACGGUUUUGCUGUCACUUAUAGAUGGAUCCGCGCCGCAUUAGCUAGUUGGUAAGGUAACGGCUUACCAAGGCAACGAUGCGUAGCCGACCUGAGAGGGUGAUCGGCCACACGGGAACUGAGACACGGUCCAGGCUCCUACGGGAGGCAGCAGUAGGGAAUCUUCCGCAAUGGGCGGAAGCCUGACGGAGCAACGCCGCGUGAGUGAUGAAGGUCUUCGGAUCGUAAAACUCUGUUAUUAGGGAAGAACAAAUGUGUAAGUAACUAUGCACGUCUUGACGGUACCUAAUCAGAAAGCCACGGCUAACUACGUG
This 497-nucleotide ribosomal RNA is filed under the name uncultured bacterium. RNAcentral's name for it is "partial 16S ribosomal RNA". It matches the Rfam family "Bacterial small subunit ribosomal RNA", at positions 28 to 507 of the family's 1533-position model. The record is from RNAcentral.